Molecule: ribosomal RNA, 466 nt
Filed under: uncultured bacterium
Lineage: Bacteria
Description: partial 16S ribosomal RNA
Rfam family: Bacterial small subunit ribosomal RNA
Source: RNAcentral
GAUGAACGCUGGCGGCGUGCUUAACACAUGCAAGUCGAACGAUGAAGCCCAGCUUGCUGGGUGGAUUAGUGGCGAACGGGUGAGUAACACGUGAGUAACCUGCCCUUAACUCUGGGAUAAGCCUGGGAAACUGGGUCUAAUACCGGAUAGGAGCGCCUACCGCAUGGUGGGUGUUGGAAAGAUUUAUCGGUUUUGGAUGGACUCGCGGCCUAUCAACUUGUUGGUGAGGUAAUGGCUCACCAAGGCGACGACGGGUAGCCGGCCUGAGAGGGUGACCGGCCACACUGGGACUGAGACACGGCCCAGACUCCUACGGGAGGCAGCAGUGGGGAAUAUUGCACAAUGGGCGAAAGCCUGAUGCAGCGACGCCGCGUGAGGGAUGACGGCCUUCGGGUUGUAAACCUCUUUCAGUAGGGAAGAAGCGAAAGUGACGGUACCUGCAGAAGAAGCACCGGCUAACUACGUG